This 69-nucleotide transfer RNA is filed under the name Chiridota heheva. Its description in RNAcentral is "tRNA-Glu". It matches the Rfam family "tRNA". From Rfam's summary of the family: Transfer RNA (tRNA) molecules are approximately 80 nucleotides in length. The record is from RNAcentral. Lineage: Eukaryota; Metazoa; Echinodermata; Holothuroidea; Apodida; Chiridotidae.
GCACCUAUAGUAAAAUUAUUACAGUAGCUUUUCAAGCUAGAGUUCUAAGUUAGAUUCUUAGUAGGAGUU